Molecule: ribosomal RNA, 434 nt
Filed under: uncultured bacterium
Lineage: Bacteria
Description: partial 16S rRNA
Source: RNAcentral
ACACGAAGUUAGCCGGAGCUUCUUCUGCGGGUACCGUCAUUAUCGUCCCCGCCGAAAGAGUUUUACAACCCUAGGGCCUUCAUCACUCACGCGGCAUGGCUGGAUCAGGGUUUCCCCCAUUGUCCAAGAUUCCCCACUGCUGCCUCCCGUAGGAGUCUGGGCCGUGUCUCAGUCCCAGUGUGGCUGGUCGUUCUCUCAAACCAGCUACGGAUCGUUGCCUUGGUAGGCUUUUACCCCACCAACUAGCUAAUCCGACGCGGGCCGCUCCUUCGGCGAUAAAUCUUUCCACGUUAGGGCUCAUCCGGUAUUAGCUCAAGUUUCCCUGAGUUAUUCCGAACCAAAGGGCACGUUCCCACGUGUUACUCACCCGUGCGCCGCUCUGUAUUGCUACAGCGCUCGACUUGCAUGUGUUAGGCCUGCCGCCAGCGUUCGUU